This 411-nucleotide ribosomal RNA is filed under the name uncultured Streptococcus sp. RNAcentral's name for it is "bacterial SSU rRNA". It matches the Rfam family "Bacterial small subunit ribosomal RNA", at positions 969 to 1382 of the family's 1533-position model. Lineage: Bacteria; Bacillati; Bacillota; Bacilli; Lactobacillales; Streptococcaceae. The record is from RNAcentral.
CCUUACCAGGUCUUGACAUCCCGAUGCUAUUUCUAGAGAUAGAAAGUUACUUCGGUACAUCGGUGACAGGUGGUGCAUGGUUGUCGUCAGCUCGUGUCGUGAGAUGUUGGGUUAAGUCCCGCAACGAGCGCAACCCCUAUUGUUAGUUGCCAUCAUUCAGUUGGGCACUCUAGCGAGACUGCCGGUAAUAAACCGGAGGAAGUGGGGAUGACGUCAAAUCAUCAUGCCCCUUAUGACCUGGGCUACACACGUGCUACAAUGGUUGGUACAACGAGUUGCGAGUCGGUGACGGCGAGCUAAUCUCUUAAAGCCAAUCUCAGUUCGGAUUGUAGGCUGCAACUCGCCUACAUGAAGUCGGAAUCGCUAGUAAUCGCGGAUCAGCACGCCGCGGUGAAUACGUUCCCGGGCCUU